Molecule: small RNA, 31 nt
Filed under: Bombyx mori (domestic silkworm)
Lineage: Eukaryota; Metazoa; Arthropoda; Insecta; Lepidoptera; Bombycidae
Description: ovarian small RNA-19267
Source: RNAcentral
UAAGCGCUCCCUAAUAGCCGCCAAAUGGCGA